CCUACGGGAGGCAGCAGUGAGGAAUUUUCCGCAAUGGGCGAAAGCCUGACGGAGCAAUACCGCGUGAGGGAUGAAGGAUUUUGGUCUGUAAACCUCUUUUCUCAAGAAAGAAGUUCUGACGGUACUUGAGGAAUAAGCAUCGGCUAACUCCGUGCCAGCAGCCGCGGUAAUACGGGGGAUGCAAGCGUUAUCCGGAAUGAUUGGGCGUAAAGCGCCUGUAGGUUGUUUAUUAAGUCCGUUGUUAAAGCCUAGGGCUUAACCCUAGAAAAGCAAUGGAAACUAGUAGACUAGAGUAUGGCAGGGGUAGAGGGAAUUUCUAGUGUAGCGGUGAAAUGCGUAGAUAUUAGAAAGAACACCGGUGGCGAAAGCGCUCUACUGGACCAUUACUGACACUCAGAGGCGAAAGCUAGGGUAGCAAAAGGGAUUAGAUACCCCUGUAGUCCUAGCCGUAAACGAUGGAUACUAGAUGUUGUGCAUUAUGUACAGUAUCGUAGCUAACGCGUUAAGUAUCCGCCUGGGGAGUACGCUCGCAGGGUGAAACUCAAAGGAAUUGACGG
This 557-nucleotide ribosomal RNA is filed under the name uncultured bacterium. RNAcentral describes it as "bacterial SSU rRNA". It matches the Rfam family "Bacterial small subunit ribosomal RNA", at positions 338 to 916 of the family's 1533-position model. The record is from RNAcentral.